CAAGUCGCACGAGAAAGUGGAGCAAUCCAUGAGUACAGUGGCGUACGGGUGAGUAACACGUGGGUAAUCUACCUCUUAGUGGGGAAUAACCCUGGGAAACCGGGGCUAAUACCGCAUAAUCUCGAGAGAGGAAAGCAGCAAUGCGCUGAGAGAGGAGCCCGCGGCCGAUUAGCUUGUUGGCAGGGUAAAAGCCUACCAAGGCAUAGAUCGGUAGCCGGCCUGAGAGGGCACACGGCCACACUGGCACUGAAACACGGGCCAGACUCCUACGGGAGGCAGCAGUGGGGAAUCUUGCACAAUGGGGGCAACCCUGAUGCAGCGACGCCGCGUGAGCGAUGAAGCCCUUCGGGGUGUAAAGCUCUUUCGUCAGGGAAGAUUAUGACGGUACCUGGAGAAGCAGCUGCGGCUAACUACGUGCCAGCAGCCGCGGUAAUACGUAGGCAGCGAGCGUUGUUCGGAGUUACUGGGCGUAAAGGGUGUGUAGGCGGUUGUUUAAGUUUGGUGUGAAAUCUCCCGGCUCAACUGGGAGGGUGCGCCGAAUACUGAAUGACUCGAGUGCGGGAGAGGAGAGUGGAAUUCCUGGUGUAGCGGUGAAAUGCGUAGAUAUCAGGAGGAACACCGGCGGUGUAGACGGCUCUCUGGACCGUAACUGACGCUGAGACACGAAAGCGUGGGUAGCAAACAGGAUUAGAUACCCUGGUAGUCCACGCCCUAAACGAUGCAUAUUUGGUGUGGGUCAUUCAGUUGAUCCGUGCCGGAGCUAACGCGUUAAAUAUGCCGCCUGGGGAGUACAGUCGCAAGGCUGAAACUCAAAGGAAUUGACGGGGGCCCGCACAAGCGGUGGAGCAUGUGGUUCAAUUCGACGCAACGCGAAGAACC
Molecule: ribosomal RNA, 879 nt
Filed under: uncultured Bacillota bacterium
Lineage: Bacteria; Bacillati; Bacillota
Description: bacterial SSU rRNA
Rfam family: Bacterial small subunit ribosomal RNA
Source: RNAcentral